Molecule: ribosomal RNA, 723 nt
Filed under: Triticum aestivum (bread wheat)
Lineage: Eukaryota; Viridiplantae; Streptophyta; Magnoliopsida; Poales; Poaceae
Description: partial small subunit ribosomal RNA
Source: RNAcentral
AUGAAGGCGCGGGAGCGCGACACCGCCGAGGCGGACGCGCUGCGGGCGGAGCUACUCAAGGCCAAGGCCGUGCUCGCCGAGACCAAGGCGGGCGCGGGGAUUGCGGCGGCGGCGGCGCGUGCGCUCCAGGAGGAGUUGGAUAAGAAAGUUAAAAACCUAGAGAAACAGGAGGGCCACUGGGGCCCGUCUGCGCGGCACUCCCUCGCCGUCAGUCCAGGCCGUUCCACGACUCCUACCCCCUGGUCAUCGGCCGCACCAUCCACUGGCUGUGCAGCACUACAACCCGGAGCCGCUGCCGCCGGGAGGCACCUGUCUAGCCUGGAGCCGUACAUCGUCGCUGUGGACGUCGACACCAUGGAGGCCACCGUGAUUGAUCUGCCGCGGGGCUGCACUAGCAGAAUGACUGCCUCUAUGAGCCACCUGGGCCUCCUCCUGGCCGCUUCGGUGGACGGGAGGCUCAAGGUUGUGGUCUUGGAGACCCAGGUUAUAUCAAUGUGGACCAUGUUACCACCCAUCGAGGGGGAGCCGAGCUCGCUGCCGAGAUGGAUCCGACAGGUGCUGAUAGACAAGCAGGACUGGGGCGUGCACAGCUCAGUUCAGUUUGAAGGGUUCGGGCUAAGGAGUGGCACUGUCAUCUUAUAUGUCGGUAGAGUUGGCCUCAUUCGCCUCAACCUUGCCACAAAAGAGGUGGUUGUCGUCUACCACCGCAGCGAUACAGCCUAA